UUGUUACGAGACCGAUAGCGAACAAGUACCGUGAGGGAAAUUUGAAAAGAACUUUGAAGAGAGAGUUCAAGAGUACGUGAAACCGUUCAGGGGUAAACCUGUGAAACCCAAAAGAUCGAAUGGGGAGAUUCAUCGUCAGCGUUUUUAGUAUUAAUGCARGCUAUGAUGUGAUAAUAGAAUCCUUGUGGUYACUAGAUUAUACUUGCUUGUAUUAUUUUUGCUAAWUUCGUYGGCGUGCACUUCUCCUCUAGUAGRACGUCGCAACCUGUURGAUGUUUAUCUAUGGCYYAACUGGUAGCCUUUAGUAUUUYAUUAUACUGAAGACYUUUARUGUCCUGAUAAACUGUUUGACAGUAUACAUAUGGUAUUGAGCCGCAAUUAUUUGCGUUARGCUUACCGCAAGCRUGAUUUUCUCCUGGUAGUGYGGAUCUAAUGCCGUCGCUGGGAAAAAUCUGCUGUUGGCUGUGUAAUGUCUUUAACUGGCUUAUUUACCGGUUAGCGAUGCUACUGCUUUGGGUACUUACA
RNAcentral lists this ribosomal RNA (525 nucleotides) under Microplitis espinachi. Its description in RNAcentral is "partial 28S ribosomal RNA". It matches the Rfam family "Eukaryotic large subunit ribosomal RNA", at positions 323 to 644 of the family's 3401-position model. The record is from RNAcentral. Lineage: Eukaryota; Metazoa; Arthropoda; Insecta; Hymenoptera; Braconidae.